Molecule: long non-coding RNA, 319 nt
Filed under: Ananas comosus (pineapple)
Lineage: Eukaryota; Viridiplantae; Streptophyta; Magnoliopsida; Poales; Bromeliaceae
Description: long non-coding RNA (ACOM_LNC004143)
Source: RNAcentral
UUAAACUAAUAAUUCAUAUUCUAAUUUUAAAGUCUCUAUAAUAUAAAGGUAAAAAUAUAUAAAACUUAUUUGAACUAUAGACCAUGCAUUUUGAUUUAACUAGUCAAUCUUUCAAAAUUUUAACUAUAGACCAUUCCUAGAGUAAGUGGCAAAAGGCUUGAUGGUUGGUAUUCGAGACCCAAGUUCGAAUCCUAGUUGAUUCACAUUUCCAGCUAAGUUUAUUUCUAAAUGAAAUAAACGAAGCGGGUAGCGUGUUAUCUAUCUCUCAAAAAAAAAAAAUCCAACUUUUUCAAUUUGUUUAGUUUAAGUAAUUUGAUAG